GGGAAUGUAGGUCAGUGGUAAAGCACAUGCUUUGUUUGCAGAAGGUCCCAGGUUCAAUACCUGGUUGAUUUG
Non-coding RNA from Phrynosoma platyrhinos (Desert horned lizard), 72 nucleotides. NCBI's taxonomy places the organism in Eukaryota, Metazoa, Chordata, Lepidosauria, Squamata, Phrynosomatidae. The record is from the annotation of a GenBank genome assembly.